UGGGGAAUAUUGCACAAUGGGCGAAAGCCUGAUGCAGCAACGCCGCGUGAGUGAUGAAGGCCUUCGGGUUGUAAAGCUCUGUCUUUUGGGACGAUAAUGACGGUACCAAAGGAGGAAGCCACGGCUAACUACGUGCCAGCAGCCGCGGUAAUACGUAGGUGGCAAGCGUUGUCCGGAUUUACUGGGCGUAAGGGAUGCGUAGGCGGAUUUUUUAAGUGAGAUGUGAAAACCCUAAGCUUAACUUGGGGACUGCAUUUCAUACUGGAAAUCUAGAGUGCGGGAGAGGAGAAUGGAAUUCCUAGUGUAGCGGUGAAAUCGUAGAGAUUAGGAAGAACACCAGUGGCGAAGGCGAUUCUCUGGACCGUAACUGACGCUGAGGCAUGAAAGCGUGGGUAGCAAACAGGAUUAGAUACCCUGGUAGUCCACGCCGUAAACGAUGAGUACUAGGUGUAGGAGGUAUCGACCCCUUCUGUGCCGCAGUUAACACAAUAAGUACUCCGCCUGGGAAGUACGAUCGCAAGAUUAAAAA
RNAcentral lists this ribosomal RNA (529 nucleotides) under uncultured bacterium. RNAcentral describes it as "partial 16S ribosomal RNA". It matches the Rfam family "Bacterial small subunit ribosomal RNA", at positions 355 to 900 of the family's 1533-position model. The record is from RNAcentral.